UACUUGAUGCCUCCUCGUUGGACCUGGCUGGUUAAUUUUGAUGUUUUAUUUGGAUUUCUGUUCUUGUUAAGAAGCACAACUCGUACUUAUUCACAAUCAAAUUUCAGUGAUUUACCAAGAUAUGGGUCAAGAAGCUUUAUGCCUUAUGUGGAGAAUCUUUGUUCUGGAACGCUUUUAACAUUUUUUUCUAUAUUUUAUAUGGUAACAUUA
Long non-coding RNA from Bufo bufo (common toad), 210 nucleotides. RefSeq lists it as uncharacterized. The transcript has 2 exons. NCBI's taxonomy places the organism in Eukaryota, Metazoa, Chordata, Amphibia, Anura, Bufonidae. The record is from RefSeq and is a predicted model, not a curated record.